UCAGCCCAAGUGAUCUCUCUUGGGCCCAACUAAAAGGAUUUAAUUACUGGAUUACCAAGAGGACUUUUCAGUCAAGUGGCAUCACCCUAUGAGACAAGCCUGAAGGACACAGUAAUCAAGAAUACAACAGCAUAUUUUAGAAGUACAGAUGUUGAGGAGUUAACAGAACAUACAAGACCUUCAAAAACCUUCAUUUGAGAGUAGUCAAGAUGGAAUGAAAGUGUGAGAAGAUGCAAAAUGCCAAUAAGAAUUGUUCUGUCUGCCAACAGAAAAGACGAGACCGCAGGCUAUACAGCAGAUUCCCUGGGGGGAAGCCCCUGAACACAGCUGGGUCUGAAAAUACACCAGCGAGCAAAGUCCCUGUUUUCAUGAAGAUUACAUUCUAGUGGAGGAGACAGGCUCUUAACCAAUAGAUCAAUAAAUACAUAAAACAAUCUCAGAUGUCAGCUGAAGCAGGGAAAAGGAACA
Molecule: long non-coding RNA, 468 nt
Organism: Mustela erminea (ermine)
Lineage: Eukaryota; Metazoa; Chordata; Mammalia; Carnivora; Mustelidae
Exons: 3
Source: RefSeq, a predicted model, not a curated record